GAGGGUGUAGAUCAGUGGUAGAGCACAUACUUAGCAUGCACGAGGUCCUGGGUUCAAUCCCCAGUAUCUCCA
This is a transfer RNA of Camelus ferus (Wild Bactrian camel), 72 nucleotides long. It matches the Rfam family "tRNA". Rfam says of the family: Transfer RNA (tRNA) molecules are approximately 80 nucleotides in length. Their secondary structure includes four short double-helical elements and three loops (D, anti-codon, and T loops). The record is from Rfam. Lineage: Eukaryota; Metazoa; Chordata; Mammalia; Artiodactyla; Camelidae.